GGGAGGGUCAUGGCUCAAUUGAUAAGAGUAUCUGCUUGGCACCCAGGAGGCCCCAGCUUCAAAUGCUGGCAUUUCCA
RNAcentral lists this transfer RNA (77 nucleotides) under Sphaerodactylus townsendi. RNAcentral describes it as "tRNA-Ala". It matches the Rfam family "tRNA". From Rfam's summary of the family: Transfer RNA (tRNA) molecules are approximately 80 nucleotides in length. Their secondary structure includes four short double-helical elements and three loops (D, anti-codon, and T loops). Further hydrogen bonds mediate the characteristic L-shaped molecular structure. tRNAs have two regions of fundamental functional importance: the anti-codon, which is responsible for specific mRNA codon recognition, and the 3' end, to which the tRNAs corresponding amino acid is attached (by aminoacyl-tRNA synthetases). tRNAs cope with the degeneracy of the genetic code in two manners: having more than one tRNA (with a specific anti-codon) for a particular amino acid; and 'wobble' base-pairing, i.e. permitting non-standard base-pairing at the 3rd anti-codon position. The record is from RNAcentral. Lineage: Eukaryota; Metazoa; Chordata; Lepidosauria; Squamata; Sphaerodactylidae.